RNAcentral lists this ribosomal RNA (725 nucleotides) under uncultured bacterium. RNAcentral's name for it is "bacterial SSU rRNA". It matches the Rfam family "Bacterial small subunit ribosomal RNA", at positions 774 to 1495 of the family's 1533-position model. The record is from RNAcentral.
CGGAUUAGAUACCCUGGUAGUCCUUGCCUUAAACUAUGUAUACUUGGUGUUGUUAGGCUCAACCCUGACAGUACCGUAGCGAACGCGUUAAGUAUACCGCCUGGGGAGUACGCUCGCAAGGGUAAAACUCAAAAGAAUUGACGGGGACCCGCACAAGCAGUGGAGCAUGUGGUUUAAUUCGAUGCAACGCGAAGAACCUUACCUGGACUUGACAUGCUUUUGACCGCUGCAGAAAUGCAGUUUUCUCGCAAGAGACAGAAGCACAGGUGCUGCAUGGCUGUCGUCAGCUCGUGCCGUGAGGUGUUGGGUUAAGUCCCGCAACGAGCGCAACCCUUGUCGUUAGUUGCCAACACGUAAUGGUGGGCACUCUAGCGAGACUGCCUAGGUUAACUAGGAGGAAGGUGAGGAUGACGUCAAGUCCGCAUGGCCUUUAUGUCCAGGGCUACACACGUGCUACAAUGGUCGGUACAAUGGGAAGCCAAGUCGUGAGAUGGAGCAAAUCCUUUAAAGCCGGCCCCAGUUCAGAUUGGAGUCUGCAACUCGACUCCAUGAAGAUGGAAUUGCUAGUAAUGGCGGGUCAGCAACACCGCCGUGAAUCCGUUCCCGGGUCUUGUACACACCGCCCGUCAAGUCAUGGGAGUUGGUUUCACCCGAAGUCGCUCACCCAACCGCAAGGAGGGAGGCGCCUAAGGUGAGGCUGAUGACUGGGACUAAGUCGUAACAAG